GUACGGGAGGCAGCAGUGGGGAAUAUUGCGCAAUGGGGGAAACCCUGACGCAGCAACGCCGCGUGGAGGAUGAAGGCCUUCGGGUUGUAAACUCCUGUCUUCGCUGACGAUAAUGACGGUAAGCGAGGAGGAAGCCACGGCUAACUACGUGCCAGCAGCCGCGGUAAUACGUAGGUGGCGAGCGUUGUCCGGAAUUACUGGGCGUAAAGGGUGCGUAGGCGGAAUAUUAAGUCAGAUGUGAAAUCCCAGGGCUUAACCUUGGAGUGGCAUUUGAAACUGGUAUUCUAGAGUGCAGGAGAGGAAAGCGGAAUUCCUAGUGUAGCGGUGAAAUGCGUAGAUAUUAGGAAGAACACCAGUGGCGAAGGCGGCUUUCUGGACUGUAACUGACGCUGAGGCACGAAAGCGUGGGGAGCAAACAGGAUUAGAUACCCCGGU
RNAcentral lists this ribosomal RNA (435 nucleotides) under uncultured bacterium. RNAcentral describes it as "bacterial SSU rRNA". It matches the Rfam family "Bacterial small subunit ribosomal RNA", at positions 339 to 791 of the family's 1533-position model. The record is from RNAcentral.